CGGCCCUACGGGACGCAGCAGUGGGGAAUAUUGCACAAUGGGGGAAACCCUGAUGCAGCGACGCCGCGUGAGUGAAGAAGUAUUUCGGUAUGUAAAGCUCUAUCAGCAGGGAAGAAAAUGACGGUACCUGACUAAGAAGCCCCGGCUAACUACGUGCCAGCAGCCGCGGUAAUACGUAGGGGGCAAGCGUUAUCCGGAUUUACUGGGUGUAAAGGGAGCGUAGACGGUACGCCAAGUCUGAAGUGAAAUGCCGCAGCUUAACUGCGGAACUGCUUUGGAAACUGGCGGGCUGGAGUGCGGGAGGG
This 305-nucleotide ribosomal RNA is filed under the name uncultured bacterium. RNAcentral's name for it is "bacterial SSU rRNA". It matches the Rfam family "Bacterial small subunit ribosomal RNA", at positions 334 to 656 of the family's 1533-position model. The record is from RNAcentral.